Molecule: ribosomal RNA, 496 nt
Filed under: uncultured bacterium
Lineage: Bacteria
Description: partial 16S ribosomal RNA
Rfam family: Bacterial small subunit ribosomal RNA
Source: RNAcentral
AUGAACGCUGGCGGCGUGCCUAAUACAUGCAAGUCGAGCGAACGGACGAGAAGCUUGCUUCUCUGAUGUUAGCGGCGGACGGGUGAGUAACACGUGGAUAACCUACCUAUAAGACUGGGAUAACUUCGGGAAACCGGAGCUAAUACCGGAUAAUAUUUUGAACCGCAUGGUUCCAAAGUGAAAGACGGUCCUGCUGUCACUUAUAGAUGGAUCCGCGCUGCAUUAGCUAGUUGGUAAGGUAACGGCUUACCAAGGCAACGAUGCAUAGCCGACCUGAGAGGGUGAUCGGCCACACUGGAACUGAGACACGGUCCAGACUCCUACGGGAGGCAGCAGUAGGGAAUCUUCCGCAAUGGGCGAAAGCCUGACGGAGCAACGCCGCGUGAGUGAUGAAGGUCUUCGGAUCGUAAAACUCUGUUAUUAGGGAAGAACAUAUGUGUAAGUAACUGUGCACAUCUUGACGGUACCUAAUCAGAAAGCCACGGCUAACUACGUG